Molecule: ribosomal RNA, 468 nt
Filed under: uncultured bacterium
Lineage: Bacteria
Description: partial 16S ribosomal RNA
Rfam family: Bacterial small subunit ribosomal RNA
Source: RNAcentral
GACGAACGCUGGCGGCGUGCUUAACACAUGCAAGUCGAACGGAAAGGCCCUGCUUUUGUGGGGUGCUUGAGUGGCGAACGGGUGAGUAACACGUGAGUAACCUGCCCUUGACUUUGGGAUAACUUCAGGAAACUGGGGCUAAUACCGGAUAGGAGCUCCUGCUGCAUGGUGGGGGUUGGAAAGUUUCGGCGGUUGGGGAUGGACUCGCGGCUUAUCAGCUUGUUGGUGGGGUAGUGGCUUACCAAGGCUUUGACGGGUAGCCGGCCUGGGAGGGUGACCGGCCACAUGGGGACUGAGAUACGGCCCAGACUCCUACGGGAGGCAGCAGUGGGGAAUAUUGCACAAUGGGCGGAAGCCUGAUGCAGCAACGCCGCGUGCGGGAUGACGGCCUUCGGGUUGUAAACCGCUUUCGCCUGUGACGAAGCGUGAGUGACGGUAAUGGGUAAAGAAGCACCGGCUAACUACGUG